Molecule: ribosomal RNA, 448 nt
Filed under: uncultured organism
Description: partial 16S ribosomal RNA
Rfam family: Bacterial small subunit ribosomal RNA
Source: RNAcentral
UACACUCCUGCGGGAGGCAGCAGUGGGGAAUAUUGGACAAUGGGCGCAAGCCUGAUCCAGCCAUGCCGCGUGAGUGAUGAAGGCCCUAGGGUUGUAAAGCUCUUUCACCGGUGAAGAUAAUGACGGUAACCGGAGAAGAAGCCCCGGCUAACUUCGUGCCAGCAGCCGCGGUAAUACGAAGGGGGCUAGCGUUGUUCGGAUUUACUGGGCGUAAAGCGCACGUAGGCGGACUAUUAAGUCAGGGGUGAAAUCCCGGGGCUCAACCCCGGAACUGCCUUUGAUACUGGUAGUCUUGAGUUCGAGAGAGGUGAGUGGAAUUCCGAGUGUAGAGGUGAAAUUCGUAGAUAUUCGGAGGAACACCAGUGGCGAAGGCGGCUCACUGGCUCGAUACUGACGCUGAGGUGCGAAAGCGUGGGGGGCAAACAGGAUUAGAAACCCCAGUAGUCCC